CCCCUCUCAGGGUCGCAUCUGGAGAGUUUCCAGAACUCUGCCAGUCUCGACUUCGGGAGGGAGAGUCAAGCAGAGGCAUAUCCUUUCCAUUCCUACCUUGGGCAGUGGCUAGUAAGUGGAAGGCAAUCUGCUACUGGG
Ornithorhynchus anatinus (platypus) is the source of this 138-nucleotide small nucleolar RNA. NCBI's taxonomy places the organism in Eukaryota, Metazoa, Chordata, Mammalia, Monotremata, Ornithorhynchidae. The record is from RefSeq and is a predicted model, not a curated record.